CGGUCCAGACUCCUACGGGAGGCAGCAGUGGGGAAUAUUGCACAAUGGGCGCAAGCCUGAUGCAGCCAUGCCGCGUGUGUGAAGAAGGCCUUCGGGUUGUAAAGCACUUUCAGCGGGGAGGAAGGCGUUAAGGUUAAUAACCUUGGCGAUUGACGUUACCCGCAGAAGAAGCACCGGCUAACUCCGUGCCAGCAGCCGCGGUAAUACGGAGGGUGCAAGCGUUAAUCGGAAUUACUGGGCGUAAAGCGCACGCAGGCGGUCUGUCAAGUCGGAUGUGAAAUCCCCGGGCUCAACCUGGGAACUGCAUUCGAAACUGGCAGGCUAGAGUCUUGUAGAGGGGGGUAGAAUUCCAGGUGUAGCGGUGAAAUGCGUAGAGAUCUGGAGGAAUACCGGUGGCGAAGGCGGCCCCCUGGACAAAGACUGACGCUCAGGUGCGAAAGCGUGGGGAGCAAACAGGAUUAGAUACCCUGGUAGUCCACGCCGUAAACGAUGUCGAUUUGGAGGUUGUGCCCUUGAGGCGUGGCUUCCGGAGCUAACGCGUUAAAUCGACCGCCUGGGGAGUACGGCCGCAAGGUUAAAACUCAAAUGAAUUGACGGGGGCCCGCACAAGCGGUGGAGCAUGUGGUUUAAUUCGAUGCAACGCGAAGAACCUUACCUGGUCUUGACAUCCACAGAACUUUCCAGAGAUGGAUUGGUGCCUUCGGGAACUGUGAGACAGGUGCUGCAUGGCUGUCGUCAGCUCGUGUUGUGAAAUGUUGGGUUAAGUCCCGCAACGAGCGCAACCCUUAUCCUUUGUUGCCAGCGGUCCGGCCGGGAACUCAAAGGAGACUGCCAGUGAUAAACUGGAGGAAGGUGGGGAUGACGUCAAGUCAUCAUGGCCCUUACGACCAGGGCUACACACGUGCUACAAUGGCAUAUACAAAGAGAAGCGACCUCGCGAGAGCAAGCGGACCUCAUAAAGUAUGUCGUAGUCCGGAUUGGAGUCUGCAACUCGACUCCAUGAAGUCGGAAUCGCUAGUAAUCGUAGAUCAGAAUGCUACGGUGAAUACGUUCCCGGGCCUUGUACACACCGCCCGUCACACCAUGGGAGUGGGUUGCAAAAGAAGUAGGUAGCUUAACCUUCGGGAGGGCGCUUACCACUUUGUGAUUCAUGACUGGGGUGAAGUCGUAACAAGGUAACCGUAGGGGAACCUGCGGUUGGAUCACCUCCUUA
Molecule: ribosomal RNA, 1213 nt
Filed under: Klebsiella pneumoniae
Lineage: Bacteria; Pseudomonadati; Pseudomonadota; Gammaproteobacteria; Enterobacterales; Enterobacteriaceae
Description: bacterial SSU rRNA
Rfam family: Bacterial small subunit ribosomal RNA
Source: RNAcentral